AUUGAACGCUGGCGGCAUGCCUUACACAUGCAAGUCGAACGGUAGCGGGCCUUCGGGUGCCGACGAGUGGCGAACGGGUGAGUAAUACAUCGGAACGUGCCCGAUCGUGGGGGAUAACGAGGCGAAAGCUUUGCUAAUACCGCAUACGAUCUACGGAUGAAAGCAGGGGACCGCAAGGCCUUGCGCGGACGGAGCGGCCGAUGGCAGAUUAGGUAGUUGGUGGGAUAAAGGCUUACCAAGCCGACGAUCUGUAGCUGGUCUGAGAGGAUGAUCAGCCACACUGGGACUGAGACACGGCCCAGACUCCUACGGGAGGCAGCAGUGGGGAAUUUUGGACAAUGGGCGCAAGCCUGAUCCAGCCAUGCCGCGUGCAGGAUGAAGGCCUUCGGGUUGUAAACUGCUUUUGUACGGAACGAAAAGCCUUCUUUUAAUACAGGAGGGUCAUGACGGUACCGUAAGAAUAAGCACCGGCUAACUACGUG
RNAcentral lists this ribosomal RNA (482 nucleotides) under uncultured bacterium. RNAcentral's name for it is "partial 16S ribosomal RNA". It matches the Rfam family "Bacterial small subunit ribosomal RNA", at positions 30 to 507 of the family's 1533-position model. The record is from RNAcentral.